UUUUGGAGCACGGGGUACAAACAGACAGAGAAACUACAGCGAAUGUUUGCGGUGGAGACUCGCGGCAGAUGGCUGCCCUCCCAGAGUCUGCUUCUACCGGAGACGUCCUACUGUUAAAAGGUUCCUUCUGCUCAUAGAGAAUAGUUAUGUCAUAGAGGUUUCCAUCUAAAAUACUGAAAGAUGGCUGGAGGGAUGUGUCUGCGUUUGAUCCGCAGAUGCUGGCAGGCUGAGCCCCGGCAGGGAAACAAGAGUAGGGAAUCUCAUCCUCUGUUUCCAGCUUCCAGGGACCGGCUCCAGGUGUAAGACAGGAACAAGGACUGAAUGAUGGGAGAACUAGCCUGGCAU
This is a long non-coding RNA of Neolamprologus brichardi, 345 nucleotides long. RefSeq lists it as uncharacterized. The record is from RefSeq and is a predicted model, not a curated record. NCBI's taxonomy places the organism in Eukaryota, Metazoa, Chordata, Actinopteri, Cichliformes, Cichlidae.